RNAcentral lists this ribosomal RNA (602 nucleotides) under uncultured bacterium. RNAcentral's name for it is "bacterial SSU rRNA". It matches the Rfam family "Bacterial small subunit ribosomal RNA", at positions 28 to 641 of the family's 1533-position model. The record is from RNAcentral.
GAUGAACGCUGGCGGCGUGCCUAAUACAUGCAAGUCGAACGAGGCCCUUUGUAUUCGUACGAAGGUGUCCUAGUGGCGAACGGGUGAGUAACGCGUUGGUGACCUGCCCCGAAGUUUGGGAUAACCCUACGAAAGUGGGGCUAAUACCAAAUGUGGUCAUCGGAUUUAGAAACCGAUGUCUAAAGGAUUUAUUCGCUUCGGGAGGGGCCUGCGUCCCAUCAGCUAGUUGGUAGGGUAACGGCCUACCAAGGCUACGACGGGUAGGGGACCUCAGAGGGUGGCCCCCCACAAUGGAACUGAAACACGGUCCAUACACCUACGGGUGGCAGCAGUAGGGAAUAUUGCACAAUGGGCGAAAGCCUGAUGCAGCAACGCCGCGUGUGCGAAGAAGGCCUUCGGGUCGUAAAGCACUUUUCUGGGAGAUGAGAAAGGACAGUAUCCCAGGAAUAAGUCUCGGCUAACUACGUGCCAGCGGCCGCGGUAAAACGUAGGAGGCGAGCGUUAUCCGGAUUUACUGGGCGUAAAGCGCGUGUAGGCGGUUUGGUAAGUUGGGCGUGAAAGCUCCCGGCUCAACUGGGAGAGGUCGUCCAAGACUACCAGAC